CCGCGGUAUUUUGACCGUGCUAAGGUAGCAUAAUCAUUAGUUUUUUAAUUGAAAGCUAGAAUGAAGGGUUGGAUGAAAAAUAAACUUUCUUAAUUUAAUUAUUAUAAAAUUUUAUUUUUAAGUUAAAAAGCUUAAAUUUUAUUAAAAGACGAGAAGACCCUAUAGAGUUUUAUUUUUUAUUAUUAUAUAUUUUUUAGAAUUAAUUAUUUUAUUUUAAUAAAAAAUUUAGUUGGGGUGAUUGAAAAAUUUAUUUAACUUUUUUUAAUUUUUUAUAUAAAUUAAUAGUUUAUUGAUCCAUAAAUAUGAUUAUAAGAUUAAAUUACCUUAGGGAUAACAGCGUAAUUUUAUUGAAGAGUU
RNAcentral lists this ribosomal RNA (357 nucleotides) under Neolochmaea dilatipennis. Its description in RNAcentral is "partial 16S ribosomal RNA". The record is from RNAcentral. Lineage: Eukaryota; Metazoa; Arthropoda; Insecta; Coleoptera; Chrysomelidae.